RNAcentral lists this ribosomal RNA (1227 nucleotides) under metagenome. RNAcentral describes it as "bacterial LSU rRNA". It matches the Rfam family "Bacterial large subunit ribosomal RNA", at positions 1564 to 2800 of the family's 2925-position model. The record is from RNAcentral.
UGAAUACGAGACGCUACGGCGUCGAAGCAGUCUAUGUCAGACUUCCAAGAAAAGCUCGCAAUGUCAUAAACAAAUAAUGCCUGUACCAUAACCGACACAGGUGGGUAGGUAGAGUAUACUAAGGGGCGCGAGAUAACUCUCUCUAAGGAACUCGGCAAAAUGACUCCGUAACUUCGGGAGAAGGAGUGCCUUAUUUAUAAGGUUGCAAUAACAAGAUCCAAGCAACUGUUUAUCAAAAACACAGGUCUCCGCUAAGUCGUAAGACGAUGUAUGGGGGCUGACGCCUGCCCAGUGCCAGAAGGUUAAAGAAGUUGGUUAGCAUUCGCGAAGCUGAUAACUGAAGCCCUGGUGAACGGCGGCCGUAACUAUAACGGUCCUAAGGUAGCGAAAUUCCUUGUCGGGUAAGUUCCGACCCGCACGAAAGGCGUAAUGAUUUGGAUACUGUCUCGGAGAGGGGCUCGGUGAAAUAGACUUGUCUGUGAAGAUGCGGACUACCUGCACCUGGACAGAAAGACCCUAUGAAGCUUUACUGUAACUUGAAAUUGAAAUUGGACUUUAUUUGCGCAGCAUAGGUGGGAGGCGUUGAGAGUAUUCUUGCGGGAAUAUUGGAGCCAUCAGUGAGAUACCACUCUUGUAAUGUUAGAUUUCUAACUUUGUAUCAUUAUCUGGUCAAAGAACAGUUUCAGGCGGGCAGUUUGACUGGGGCGGUCGCCUCCCAAACAGUAACGGAGGCGUACAAAGGUUUCCUCUGAACGGGUAGAAAUCGUAUCUAGAGUGUAAAGGCAUAAGGAAGCUUGACUGUGAGACCUACAAGUCGAGCAGGGGCGAAAGUCGGUCUUAGUGAUCUGACGGUGCUGAGUGGAAAGGCCGUCACUCAACGGAUAAAAGUUACUCUAAGGAUAACAGGCUGAUCUCCCCCAAGAGUUCACAUCGACGGGGAGGUUUGGCACCUCGAUGUCGGCUCAUCGCAUCCUGGGGCGGUAGUACGUCCCAAGGGUUGGGCUGUUCGCCCAUGAAAGCGGUACGCGAGCUGGGUUCAGAACGUCGUGAGACAGUUCGGUCCAUAUCCGGUGUAGGCGUUAGAAUAUUGAGAGGAGCCUUCUUUAGUACGAGAGGACCGAGAAGGACAUACCUCUGGUGUACCAGUUAUCGUGCCAACGGUAAACGCUGGGUAGCUAUGUAUGGAGAGGAUAACCGCUGAAAGCAUCUAAGUGGGAAGCCCACCUC